RNAcentral lists this small RNA (28 nucleotides) under Bombyx mori (domestic silkworm). RNAcentral describes it as "ovarian small RNA-32856". Lineage: Eukaryota; Metazoa; Arthropoda; Insecta; Lepidoptera; Bombycidae. The record is from RNAcentral.
UGAUGCCGGUUUUUUCAAUUUGCGCUUC